This 464-nucleotide ribosomal RNA is filed under the name uncultured bacterium. RNAcentral describes it as "partial 16S ribosomal RNA". It matches the Rfam family "Bacterial small subunit ribosomal RNA", at positions 339 to 795 of the family's 1533-position model. The record is from RNAcentral.
CUACGGGCUGCUCCAGUGGGGAAUAUUGCACAAUGGGCGCAAGCCUGAUGCAGCCAUGCCGCGUGUAUGAAGAAGGCCUUCGGGUUGUAAAGUACUUUCAGCGGGGAGGAAGGGAGUAAAGUUAAUACCUUUGCUCAUUGACGUUACCCGCAGAAGAAGCACCGGCUAACUCCGUGCCAGCAGCCGCGGUAAUACGGAGGGUGCAAGCGUUAAUCGGAAUUACUGGGCGUAAAGCGCACGCAGGCGGGUUGUUAAGUCAGAUGUGAAAUCCCCGGGCUCAACCUGGGAACUGCAUCUGAUACUGGCAAGCUUGAGUCUCGUAGAGGGGGGUAGAAUUCCAGGUGUAGCGGUGAAAUGCGUAGAGAUCUGGAGGAAUAUCGGUGGCGAAGGCGGCCCCCUGGACGAAGACUGACGCUCAGGUGCGAAAGCGUGGGGAGCAAACAGGAUUAGAUACCCGCGUAGUC